This 322-nucleotide small RNA is filed under the name Histoplasma capsulatum var. duboisii H88. RNAcentral describes it as "Histoplasma capsulatum H88 hypothetical RNA". Lineage: Eukaryota; Fungi; Ascomycota; Eurotiomycetes; Onygenales; Ajellomycetaceae. The record is from RNAcentral.
AGCUCAAUCCCAGAGCUUAUAUUGAAUAUCUUGUGGGAUAUGAUUCUACAAACAUCUUUGGAAUUUGGAUUCCUCAUCUAGAUAGGGUGAUAAGGACAAGAGAUGUUAUAUUCGAUGAAAAUAGGAAAUACAAUCCAGAUGAACCUCAUAUUGAAAAACAGUUGCGAGAUUGGGUUGUUCAAGAGAUUGAAUUCUUGGAUAUCGAGGUUAAAGAACCAAGGGUUGGCACUCCUCAGCAGGAGGAUAAUCUAUACUCAGAUAUUGAUAUUUUUCGUCCCGAUGAGAUCCCACCACGUACGGAGAACACUGAUAAAGAUAGCAA